GUCCACGCCCUAAACGAUGCGAACUGGACGUUGGGAGCAACUAGGCUCUCAGUGUCGAAGCUAACGCGUUAAGUUCGCCGCCUGGGGAGUACGGUCGCAAGACUGAAACUCAAAGGAAUUGACGGGGGCCCGCACAAGCGGUGGAGUAUGUGGUUUAAUUCGAUGCAACGCGAAGAACCUUACCUGGCCUUGACAUCCACGGAACCCUUGAGAGAUCGAGGGGUGCCUUCGGGAACCGUGAGACAGGUGCUGCAUGGCUGUCGU
RNAcentral lists this ribosomal RNA (264 nucleotides) under uncultured bacterium. RNAcentral's name for it is "partial 16S ribosomal RNA". It matches the Rfam family "Bacterial small subunit ribosomal RNA", at positions 793 to 1055 of the family's 1533-position model. The record is from RNAcentral.